Non-coding RNA from Durio zibethinus, 1165 nucleotides. NCBI's taxonomy places the organism in Eukaryota, Viridiplantae, Streptophyta, Magnoliopsida, Malvales, Malvaceae. The record is from RefSeq and is a predicted model, not a curated record.
AUUCCUCUGUAGUUACGGCGGAAAAAUCCUCCCUCGUUACCCUGACGGUAAACUCCGUUAUCACGGUGGUGAAACCCGUGUCCUCGCCGUUGAUCGCUCCAUUUCCUUCUCCGGUUAUUAAUGAAACGCCGAGCAGCCUUUGAAUGAUCCGAGGUAGCAAUGGGCGGAAUGUAGUUGAUUUUCAGUUUUUACCAGAUUCGAUGUAUUAAUUGCAAGGGGGCAAAGCAGCCAGCGCAGCAAUGCUUGUGUCAACUACCAAACAAAAUCCCAAGUAGCAAUAGCAAUAGGGGACCAUUGGAAGAACCUGAUGAGUCAUUACCGAAACGCGUUGAAUAUGCAUGGAGGGGUCGAAAGCCAUGAAAUCGUCCCAUUUAAUAGCUGGUAUAUAUAAACUGACGAAGGUCCGUCUCAACGAUAUAAUAAUAGGUAAGAGUAAUUUCGUUAAAAUAAAGCCAAAAAAGAGAAAAUUGAGAAUAUGAAAUCAGAAAACAAAAGAAAAUGAGUUCCCCUUAAUCCAAGACAAAGAACAGGAAGAACAAAGGGCUGCUAACUAUACAAGUCCAUGAUUUUUGGUUCUCCACUCACGUAUCAUUCAAAAAGGAAGAUUCCCUUUGCUGUCCCAUGCAAUUUUGGAGAUAUAUGAAGGAUUCAUUUGCAAUAUUAAAAUUGAAUUAAGGUUAUCCUACCCCACCAUGUGCGAUCUUUUCAUUUUUUCUUUUUCCUAUUGUUUUUCCUCCUAACAUGAACAUGAUUAAAAAGAAAAACUAUACUAAAAUGGAUGCCACCGAGACAGCAUGAAUUUGGCAAGUCUAUUUUUGACAAUGAGUGCUGUGACUGUGAGGUCACCAUUGAUGAUAUCGGAGUUGAAACCUUUGAUUGGUGAUAAUGAGCAAGAGGCCAGGGUGUGGCUGAAAGCCAGGCACUGAUGGUGAAGCUUGAGUGGCAUUGUGGCUUUAACUGUUUAGGGAACCUUUCGAGUAUGGACAAGAUAAGGAUGCUUGAUCUGAAUUAUUGGAGAGUGGAGAAGAACAUUGCAGGCAAUUACUUAAAAAUCAAAAUGAGAAAUACAGAGAAGAUUAUUUAUAAAAAUGGGGAUGGAGACAGAGAUAAAUAUUUGCCUAAGAAAAAAGUUUGUUUUCUUUUUUUUUUUUUAACUUUAAUGAAA